AUGAGAGUUUGAUCCCGGCUCAGAAUCAACGCUGGCGGCGCGCCUAACACAUGCAAGUCGAACGAGAAAGGCGGGGCAACCCGCUGAGUACAGUGGCGUACGGGUGAGUAACACGUGGGUUACCUACCCUCUGGUGGGGAAUAACCCUGGGAAACCGGGGCUAAUACCGCAUAAGCCCGCAAGGGGAAAGCCGCAAGGCGCCGGAGGAGGGGCCCGCGGCCGAUUAGCUAGUUGGUAGGGUAAUGGCCUACCAAGGCUGUGAUCGGUAGCCGGCCUGAGAGGGCACACGGCCACACUGGCACUGAAACACGGGCCAGACUCCUACGGGAGGCAGCAGUGGGGAAUCUUGCACAAUGGGGGAAACCCUGAUGCAGCGACGCCGC
Molecule: ribosomal RNA, 383 nt
Filed under: Candidatus Solibacter sp.
Lineage: Bacteria; Pseudomonadati; Acidobacteriota; Terriglobia; Bryobacterales; Solibacteraceae
Description: bacterial SSU rRNA
Rfam family: Bacterial small subunit ribosomal RNA
Source: RNAcentral